This is a long non-coding RNA of Topomyia yanbarensis, 1454 nucleotides long. RefSeq lists it as uncharacterized. NCBI's taxonomy places the organism in Eukaryota, Metazoa, Arthropoda, Insecta, Diptera, Culicidae. The record is from RefSeq and is a predicted model, not a curated record. The transcript is spliced from 4 exons.
AAUUUGCUCACUGGAAAGUUUAUACAUGGGCAACCCAAAAUUAGGUAGAAAUUUGAACAUGGCGAUUACCCAUAAUUUGAGUUGGUCGCUGUGAACUUCGUGUUGGGUAGGAAUUGAAUAAUGACGUCUACUCAAAUUCAAGUUCAUCGCUUUGUACUUAUAUUUUGGGUAGUCCAUUUCAAACAAAGUAGUAGGUAAUGUUUUUGACAGCCAUUGUUAUUGUUGUGAAUCAAAUUGCAUGAAGUGGCUCUGGAAAAGAAUGGUAAUUAUAAUGCAUAAUGCAAUAAUUUCAACUAAAAUUAAUGAUUAAUUUAUUUCAGCCUAGAAACUUACACUCAGGCAAAAAAUACAGCGAAUUUCACAUGAAUAUCGUAUAAUUUUUAGCCACAAGCAGCACGUAUGUAAAUCAUAAGAUUAUCUUAUGAAACGGCAUUUAUUUGGUCAAAUCGGUUUGCAAUGAUUUCAUGUUCCAUAAGGCAUCUUUGAAUUAUCAUAAGACAAUAUCAUACAUUUCUCUUAUGUUUAUGAGAAUCAUAAGAUGCUCGUAUGAAACUCGAACGACUGACAUAUGCAAUAAAUUGUAAAAUGUAAAGGUAAUCAUACAAGUCGUAUGUUUUCCAUAUUAAUCUUAUGAAAUCAUAGUUUUGUUACUUUUCUAGUCAUCAUAAGAUGAAUCUUAUGAAUUUCGCUAUGCAUUUUGCCUUAGCGUAGGAUAAAGCAAUUAGCGCUGGAUCUAAAACAUGAGUCGAUGAUGAUCGAGUUGCACUUUUUGUUGCCAACGAACGGAAAACAAAUAAAUAAUUGAAGAAAUUUUUCUCCUCAAAAUAUUUGAUUAUUUCUGCUGCCUCUGCACUCCUUGCUGUCGUUCGAUUCCGUUCACGUGGCUUCGACGUGCUGCCUCGUGGAUCGGCAACUCGUUGGUAGCGAGCCGCGUGGCUUGUUUCGAUAUUCCACCUGUUGCUAUGGGCCUUGGUUGCCUCUAGAUGACCUCGCAUCUGCGUGGUGACUUCAGGAAACUAUUCAGUCAUGUCAAACUGAGGCUUCCAAUAGUCAACACCGGUGAAACAACGUCAUCUCGGUUAUUGACUUCAGAUACAUCGAGCAAUACGGAACAUUUGAACAAGACUGUAGCUUACCCGAGCUCCGAGCCACUACAAUUCCAUUUGACUUUAGUCAUACCGGCUGGAAUAUAAUAUAGAAUUCUGGCUGUCUAAGAGACAAGUAUUUUAAUUGUGCAUUCAUUUUUUUUUGUUUUUUGUUGAUGAUUAAUUCAUUUCAAAUAUAUUUGUAGUUGGGACUAUGGCCACAUUUGCAAUUAUGGUGCCACUGACAUAUGAGCAAGCGUAUGGGGGAUAGACCACUAGUGAAUAAUUGUUCUUAAACCUGAGGGGUAACCACCCAUAUUGAUGGUGGUUUUAAGUGUUUUGUUACCAGCCGCCAUCUUGGAUUUCAAA